AUGAUGCUUUUCGAUUAGCGUCAUGUUAUACUAGCUCAGAGAGAGAUUUUUUACAUCCAAUUAUAGGUACAAUAAAUUAUACUGUAAAUAUUUAAUUAGCACAGUAUUCUUCUAAUAUUUAUUAUUGAUAGGGUGUAUUUAAUAUUAUUGAUUUUGAGAAGGAUCGCAUGCGGCAAGCUAUAGAUGCUCAUUUAUACUUGUGUUUCAAAAAGUAUCACCAUCGUAUUUAUUAGCAUUGAUAUCAUAUGAUGC
Molecule: long non-coding RNA, 252 nt
Filed under: Elaeis guineensis (African oil palm)
Lineage: Eukaryota; Viridiplantae; Streptophyta; Magnoliopsida; Arecales; Arecaceae
Description: long non-coding RNA (EGUI_LNC043608)
Source: RNAcentral